This 3056-nucleotide ribosomal RNA is filed under the name Campylobacter coli. RNAcentral describes it as "23S ribosomal RNA". It matches the Rfam family "Bacterial large subunit ribosomal RNA". Lineage: Bacteria; Pseudomonadati; Campylobacterota; Epsilonproteobacteria; Campylobacterales; Campylobacteraceae. The record is from RNAcentral.
AGGUAAGCUACUAAGAGCGAAUGGUGGAUGCCUUGACUGGUAAAGGCGAUGAAGGACGUACUAGACUGCGAUAAGCUACGGGGAGCUGUCAAGAAGCUUUGAUCCGUAGAUUUCCGAAUGGGGCAACCCAAUGUAUAGAGAUAUACAUUACCUAUAUAGGAGCGAACGAGGGGAAUUGAAACAUCUUAGUACCCUCAGGAAAAGAAAUCAAUAGAGAUUGCGUCAGUAGCGGCGAGCGAAAGCGCAAGAGGGCAAACCCAGUGCUUGCACUGGGGGUUGUAGGACUGCAAUGUGCAAGAGGUGAGUUUAGCAGAACAUUCUGGAAAGUAUAGCCAUAGAGGGUGAUAGUCCCGUAUGCGAAAAACAAACCUUAGCUAGCAGUAUCCUGAGUAGGGCGGGACACGAGAAAUCCUGUCUGAAGCUGGGUCGACCACGAUCCAACCCUAAAUACUAAUACCAGAUCGAUAGUGCACAAGUACCGUGAGGGAAAGGUGAAAAGAACUGAGGUGAUCAGAGUGAAAUAGAACCUGAAACCAUUUGCUUACAAUCAUUCAGAGCCCUAUGUAGCAAUACAGGGUGAUGGACUGCCUUUUGCAUAAUGAGCCUGCGAGUUGUGGUGUCUGGCAAGGUUAAGCAAACGCGAAGCCGUAGCGAAAGCGAGUCUGAAUAGGGCGCUUAGUCAGAUGCUGCAGACCCGAAACGAAGUGAUCUAUCCAUGAGCAAGUUGAAGCUAGUGUAAGAACUAGUGGAGGACUGAACCCAUAGGCGUUGAAAAGCCCCGGGAUGACUUGUGGAUAGGGGUGAAAGGCCAAUCAAACUUCGUGAUAGCUGGUUCUCUCCGAAAUAUAUUUAGGUAUAGCGUUGUGUCGUAAUAUAAGGGGGUAGAGCACUGAAUGGGCUAGGGCAUACACCAAUGUACCAAACCCUAUCAAACUCCGAAUACCUUAUAUGUAAUCACAGCAGUCAGGCGGCGAGUGAUAAAAUCCGUCGUCAAGAGGGAAACAACCCAGACUACCAGCUAAGGUCCCUAAAUCUUACUUAAGUGGAAAACGAUGUGAAGUUACUUAAACAACCAGGAGGUUGGCUUAGAAGCAGCCAUCCUUUAAAGAAAGCGUAAUAGCUCACUGGUCUAGUGAUUUUGCGCGGAAAAUAUAACGGGGCUAAAGUAAGUACCGAAGCUGUAGACUUGCACACAACUUAGAUUAUUUAAGUUUAGAAUAUGAGAAACUAAGUUAUAUGUUUAGUUAUAUUUUUACUGAUUUUUAUAGAGUAAAGAUAGAAAUAAAACUUAGUAAAAUCAGUAAAAAUAUUCUUAGACUAAAGUUAAGUAGUUUAAGUUGUGUGCAAGUGGUAGGAGAGCGUUCUAUUUGCGUCGAAGGUAUACCGGUAAGGAGUGCUGGAGCGAAUAGAAGUGAGCAUGCAGGCAUGAGUAGCGAUAAUUAAUGUGAGAAUCAUUAACGCCGUAAACCCAAGGUUUCCUACGCGAUGCUCGUCAUCGUAGGGUUAGUCGGGUCCUAAGUCGAGUCCGAAAGGGGUAGACGAUGGCAAAUUGGUUAAUAUUCCAAUACCAACAUUAGUGUGCGAUGGAAGGACGCUUAGGGCUAAGGGGGCUAGCGGAUGGAAGUGCUAGUCUAAGGUCGUAGGAGGUUAUACAGGCAAAUCCGUAUAACAAUACUCCGAGAACUGAAAGGCUUUUUGAAGUCUUCGGAUGGAUAGAAGAACCCCUGAUGCCGUCGAGCCAAGAAAAGUUUCUAAGUUUAGCUAAUGUUGCCCGUACCGUAAACCGACACAGGUGGGUGGGAUGAGUAUUCUAAGGCGCGUGGAAGAACUCUCUUUAAGGAACUCUGCAAAAUAGCACCGUAUCUUCGGUAUAAGGUGUGGUUAGCUUUGUAUUAGGAUUUACUCCGAAAGCAAGGAAACUUACAACAAAGAGUCCCUCCCGACUGUUUACCAAAAACACAGCACUCUGCUAACUCGUAAGAGGAUGUAUAGGGUGUGACGCCUGCCCGGUGCUCGAAGGUUAAUUGAUGGGGUUAGCAUUAGCGAAGCUCUUGAUCGAAGCCCGAGUAAACGGCGGCCGUAACUAUAACGGUCCUAAGGUAGCGAAAUUCCUUGUCGGUUAAAUACCGACCUGCAUGAAUGGCGUAACGAGAUGGGAGCUGUCUCAAAGAGGGAUCCAGUGAAAUUGUAGUGGAGGUGAAAAUUCCUCCUACCCGCGGCAAGACGGAAAGACCCCGUGGACCUUUACUACAGCUUGACACUGCUACUUGGAUAAGAAUGUGCAGGAUAGGUGGGAGGCUUUGAGUAUAUGACGCCAGUUGUAUAUGAGCCAUUGUUGAGAUACCACUCUUUCUUAUUUGGGUAGCUAACCAGCUUGAGUUAUCCUCAAGUGGGACAAUGUCUGGUGGGUAGUUUGACUGGGGCGGUCGCCUCCCAAAUAAUAACGGAGGCUUACAAAGGUUGGCUCAGAACGGUUGGAAAUCGUUCGUAGAGUAUAAAGGUAUAAGCCAGCUUAACUGCAAGACAUACAAGUCAAGCAGAGACGAAAGUCGGUCUUAGUGAUCCGGUGGUUCUGUGUGGAAGGGCCAUCGCUCAAAGGAUAAAAGGUACCCCGGGGAUAACAGGCUGAUCUCCCCCAAGAGCUCACAUCGACGGGGAGGUUUGGCACCUCGAUGUCGGCUCAUCGCAUCCUGGGGCUGGAGCAGGUCCCAAGGGUAUGGCUGUUCGCCAUUUAAAGCGGUACGCGAGCUGGGUUCAGAACGUCGUGAGACAGUUCGGUCCCUAUCUGCCGUGGGCGUAAGAAGAUUGAAGAGAUUUGACCCUAGUACGAGAGGACCGGGUUGAACAAACCACUGGUGUAGCUGUUGUUCUGCCAAGAGCAUCGCAGCGUAGCUAAGUUUGGAAAGGAUAAACGCUGAAAGCAUCUAAGCGUGAAGCCAACUCUAAGAUGAAUCUUCUCUAAGCUCUCUAGAAGACUACUAGUUUGAUAGGCUGGGUGUGUAAUGGAUGAAAGUCCUUUAGCUGACCAGUACUAAUAGAGCGUUUGGCUUAUCUUU